UUCCGAGGACUGAUACUGUUUCUCUUCUUUUACUAAAUCAUUUUCUCUUCUCAAUCUUCUUCUUUUUUGUUUCAAUUUCGUCAUAUCUCUGACCAAAUCGCUGAGAUUAUCAAUCCAAUCAAGCUUAAGGAUGAUGAUGAUAAUUGGAAGUCUCUGAUUCUUCCAUUACAUCAAGAUGUUUGGUUUCUCUCGAUGGGAUCUAAUCAUUUUUUCUACUCAAUUUGGGUAUCAGAAGAAAUCAAUAAUAACAGUGCCGAUCUCCAUAUCGGAUUUGUGGUGGCGGCGGUGCUGUCGGAGGUGGUGGUGAGAGUUCGGUUGAAAAUGGUGGUGCUAUCAUCUAACUGCAGAGCCAGAGAUGAUGAGAUUCGUUGUUUGAAACGGAAUUCAGAUCUGAUCGAAACGGUGGCGGUUAACGGUUUUUGAUACAAUGGUUCGGUUAGGGGGUGAAGUGCGAUGUUUUGUUUAUUGAAGGGGGGAGUUGCAAAUGUGAAAUUUGAGUGGGGGUGCAAUCCGAAAAAAACAUAAUUCAGUACUGCGGUAUCUUUUUCCACGUCAUUUUUUAUGAUGUCCAGUCCUCCAUCCAGUCACCAGGUACGCCCUCUGCCAUGUCAUCCAUCAAUCCCACGUGUUACUAUGCCAUGUCACCAUCUAUUAAACCGUUUUAAAGCUCGUCUUUGUAGUUAAAACAGAGGGAAUUUCUUGAGUUGUUUUUCACAAAUUCUAAUGAAAACUUUUAGUCCUUGUGAUCAAGAAAUGCUUCUUACUCAAAAAAAAAAUCAAUCUUUUAUUCAUUACUACUCGAGCCUUUUCUCCCUUUUCCAUACUUUGUUCUUCAAACAAGAUUCUUGCUGGAAACGAGAUUUAAAGAAGGAAUUUCUCAAGAUUGUUGCUGGAUAAAGAUAAUUGAAUUAGGAUUUUAGUAAGAUUCUUACUGGAAACGAGAUUUGAACAAGGAGUUGCUCAAGAUUUCAUUGGUAAAGCGAGAGUUCCAGUUGGAGUUGCUCAAGAUUUCUGCUGCGAGUGUUGAAUCAUCUUCUGCUUCUGUCACUUUCACCGUUCUUCAAACCAGAAUAUCAAGAAAUUGGUAUGCGCAGUUCUUCCCUCUUGGUACAGCUAAUGACUAUGAAGCCAUUUAUGAGGUUUUUGGCGCGAGAAAGUUUCUGAGUUUAGUGGACAGAGCUGACCCAGAACAGAACAUAGCUUCCCAGUCACUAAUCAGACAGGCAAGAGCCAGGGUGGCAGAUCGUGUAAAUGGACUUGGUGGAUCUGUUAUCCAACUCAGAGGCCAGGUGAACCAGCUUCGAGCUGAGCUGAUUUCGGUAGGAAUUCCCAUCCUAGGAGAUGUUGUUCCACAAGAACCACCAGAGGAAGAACAAGCAGUUUAGAUCGGGAGAUCUUGUGGGGCUUGCAGGCAUCUGAAGGAACCGUGUCCAUCAACCUGUCCUCUACGAGCAGUAUUCACUCCUCAAAGGAGUGAUGACCUUCUUGAUGUUAAUGCUUUUUGCGGCGUUAGGAAAUUUGUCAGUAACAUGAAAGAGGUCCACCCUCAAGGCAGGCGAUUGGCAGCUGAGUGCAUGGUUCUUGAGGCUAGGGCUUGGAAUAAUUUACCAGCCAGAGGAAUCGAAGGACUAGUUAAUAUCCUAAAUCUGCAAGUGAGUCUUCUUACAAGGAAACUGAACUUGGCCUAGGGGUUUCCUAAGAAGAGGUUUGAGUUGCAAUAAAUCUGUUUUAGCAUUAUGGAAAGGGAGAGAUGAUGUCUGUCGCACACAAAAAACUGCAUCAAGUGGAAUUAAGUUGUCUAGAAGCACACAUUUCAGUUUUUGAUUCAAAUUUUAUCUGAAAGUCAAAUUUUAUUUUCAUCUCGUAGUUCCAAUGGUACUUCAGGUUCAUCAACUGAUGCUUCUGUUAUAUUGACUAGUUAAUAUCCUAAAUCUGCAAGUGCAGAGUCUUGUUACAAGGAAACUUAACUUCUGCUUCUACUCAUACUAGUCUGUCGACAAAGCUGCUGCGAGACUCUUUUCUUCUCUUGUUCUUCUGCAGCUUGAAGAUGAUGUGAUUGUCAGUAACUGGUUUGAAAUGUGUGUUUGUUUCUAGUUGUUCAUAGUUCAAGCUUUACUAUGUUUUUAAAGGCUUGAGGGGUAUGUAAGAGUAUACUGUCAAUGUUAGUAAAUACAUCGUGUCAGGUAUUUGUAUACCAUUAUAUGAAUUUCAAUUUUAAGUA
Molecule: long non-coding RNA, 2221 nt
Organism: Papaver somniferum (opium poppy)
Lineage: Eukaryota; Viridiplantae; Streptophyta; Magnoliopsida; Ranunculales; Papaveraceae
Exons: 2
Source: RefSeq, a predicted model, not a curated record